This 538-nucleotide ribosomal RNA is filed under the name uncultured bacterium. RNAcentral's name for it is "bacterial SSU rRNA". It matches the Rfam family "Bacterial small subunit ribosomal RNA", at positions 361 to 909 of the family's 1533-position model. The record is from RNAcentral.
AUCUUCGGCAAUGGGCGCAAGCCUGACCGAGCGACGCCGCGUGGGCGAUGAAGGCCAUUAGGUUGUAAAGCUCUGUCGAGGGGGAACAAGCCGCAAGGUUGAGUGAUCCCUGGAGGAAGCACGGGCUAAGUUCGUGCCAGCAGCCGCGGUAAGACGAACCGUGCGAACGUUGUUCGGAAUCAUUGGGCUUAAAGGGCGCGUAGGCGGGUUGACAAGUCCGGGGUGAAAGCCUCCAGCUCAACUGGAGAAGAGCCCCGGAUACUGUCAGUCUGGAGAGGGAUAGGGGCACAUGGAACUUCCGGUGGAGCGGUGAAAUGCGUAGAGAUCGGAAGGAACGCCGGUGGCGAAAGCGAUAUGCUGGAUCUUUUCUGACGCUGAGGCGCGAAAGCUAGGGGAGCAAACGGGAUUAGAUACCCCGGUAGUCCUAGCCCUAAACGAUGGGUACUGGGUUGCGGGUCAGACAUAGACUCGCAGCCGGAGCAAAAGUGUUAAGUACCCCGCCUGGGGAGUAUGGUCGCAAGGCUGAAACUCAAAGGAA